RNAcentral lists this ribosomal RNA (867 nucleotides) under uncultured bacterium. RNAcentral describes it as "bacterial SSU rRNA". It matches the Rfam family "Bacterial small subunit ribosomal RNA", at positions 46 to 912 of the family's 1533-position model. The record is from RNAcentral.
GCUUACNCNUGCAGUCGAGGGGCAGCAUUGGUACUUGUAUCAGAUGGCGACCGGCGCACGGGUGCGUAACGCGUAUAGAACCUACCUUUAACAGAAGGAUAGCCCGAAGAAAUUUGGAUUAAUACUUCAUAGUAUUGUUUAAUGGCAUCAUUUGAACAAUUAAAGAUUUAUCGGUUAAAGAUGGCUAUGCGUCUUAUUAGCUAGUUGGUGAGGUAACGGCUUACCAAGGCUACGAUAAGUAGGGGUCCUGAGAGGGAGAUCCCCCACACUGGUACUGAGACACGGACCAGACUCCUACGGGAGGCAGCAGUGAGGAAUAUUGGACAAUGGAGGCAACUCUGAUCCAGCCAUGCCGCGUGUAGGAAGACUGCCUUAUGGGUUGUAAACUACUUUUAUAUAGGAAGAAACGAUCUUACGUGUAAGAUUUUGACGGUACUAUAAGAAUAAGGAUCGGCUAACUCCGCGCCAGCAGCCGCGGUAAUACGGAGGAUCCAAGCGUUAUCCGGAAUCAUUGGGUUUAAAGGGUCCGUAGGCGGUUUUAUAAGUCAGUGGUGAAAGUUACCAGCUUAACUGGGAAAUUGCCAUUGAUACUGUAGAACUUGAAUUAUUGUGAAGUGGUUAGAAUAAGUAGUGUAGCGGUGAAAUGCAUAGAUAUUACUUAGAAUACCGAUUGCGAAGGCAGAUCACUAACAAUACAUUGACGCUGAUGGACGAAAGCGNNNNNAGCGAACAGGAUUAGAUACCCUGGUAGUCCACGCCGUAAACGAUGGAUACUAGCUGUUUGGACUUCGGUUUGAGUGGCUAAGCNAAAGUGAUAAGUAUCCCACCUGGGGAGUACGUUCGCAAGAAUGAAACUCAAAGGAAUUG